ACUGUCAGUAUAAUAGGUCUAUAUGACAAAAAUCAUUAAUAAAAUCCGCUAAAAAAAUGAAAUUUAAACGAGAUUCAUGCAGGUUUGCUUUUCCAUUGAAAUAACAAAGGUUUACAACUUUUAAAAUGGAUUGCUUAUCGAGCACGCUCAUAAUUUUUUUCCCAUAUUUUGAAUUAUGUUAUGAAAAUCGUUGCGCGGCAGCCCCAAUUCUAGGUGUCAAAUAAUGUUUACUGCAAAAUGGCGGAUGUUUAUAUUCAUUUCGUGAGUUUGUUCUUGUAUUUUGGAAUUAUUCUGAGCCAAAAUUAAUAGAAAUGAUUGUAAAUAUAUUGUGCGCGGUUGCAAAAGUGAGUGGCAGCCAGGAUGUGAUAUUAUAUUUCAUUCGUUUCCGUCCAAUCUAGCGGAACGCUAACGCAUGGCGAAACGCAUGGCUAAAUAGCUAAAUAUAGUAGAAUUAAAAAUAUCCUGUUUUGAAAAAGCGAAGAUAUUAUGCAACAUUCAUUUUAAACCAGCACUUGGACAGUGCGGCGGAUGUUGCCUGUAACCUCAUAGGAGGCCAUGUCCCAGCAGUGGGAACGUAAUAUAUACGUUACGGGAAAUAAAAUGUAUGGGAGGGUUUAAAGUUACAUUUUUAGAUAUUUCUCGUUAUAUUAAAAAAAGUUAUUAUUGUUAUUUUCGUUUCGUUUCGUUUCGUUAAGUGUGCACUUAACGAUUACACCCUGAAUAUAUUAUAUAUUUUGUUUUUUAUUGUAUCAUAGGGAAGCGCAAGACCACGAUCUCAUAUUUCAAGUACUCUUAAAACUAUUUAAAUACUAAAGGGUAUGGAAUAAUUAAAAUAUUUUCAGUGAACCGAUUUCGUUAUUUUUUAUUGUUAUUGUAUCUUAUAAUUUGCAAUUUUGUAAAGGCAGUUGGCAUUGUAAUGAUAAAUAAAUAUUAUUAAAACGCA
Colias croceus (clouded yellow) is the source of this 943-nucleotide long non-coding RNA. RefSeq lists it as uncharacterized. The transcript is spliced from 2 exons. Lineage: Eukaryota; Metazoa; Arthropoda; Insecta; Lepidoptera; Pieridae. The record is from RefSeq and is a predicted model, not a curated record.